This is a long non-coding RNA of Onychostoma macrolepis, 1737 nucleotides long. RefSeq lists it as uncharacterized. Lineage: Eukaryota; Metazoa; Chordata; Actinopteri; Cypriniformes; Cyprinidae. The record is from RefSeq and is a predicted model, not a curated record. The transcript is spliced from 4 exons.
UGCGCUUCUGCCGUGUCUUGUUGGCACCGCUGCCGUCCUGGUUGCUGACGAAGUCGUCCAUGAGGUAGAGCGGUGGCGGUUGCAGAGGAGGUCGGUCGCUGAGAAGCACGCGAGUAAGAAGGUCUGUCCUCUGUGAGCUGUUGGUGAUAUUCAGUGCAGAUUUUCAUGCUAAAUAAGCAUGCAAGCGACAGGCCUCACUUGGCAAUUAUCAGAUGCGUCACUUUCCCGGUUUUCUUUCAGAUCAACGUAUCCACUGUGCAUUCUGGGAUCACCUGAAAUCAAACUGAUUUAACGAGAGAAUGUGAGCCACGGCGGCCGCUGCAAAACAUCUUAACAUCAAACCUAGAGCGGUCAAAUCAUAAGUGACACUAAACUACAGACUACAGUACAGUGUAGAGUACAGGAACUGAGGUUUAAUGGUGACACUGAUGCACAAAGACAGACGUGUUGCAGCAGACAGUCAAGGGUUACAGCUGCUACAUCAAAGGAUCAUUUGGCAUGAGUGUCUGAUGAAAAUAAAUUUUCAGUGUGCUUCCUAAUAUUUAAGCUGCCCCGGGUGUUUCUAUAUCUUUUCAGAACCACAUGUCUUGCCUUCGAAGAACUGCAGGGUUUGGGAGGUCUUGGCAUGGAGGUUGAUAGUGUCAUGGGAUGGUUUGUUACAUAAACGAUUGGUUUCAAAUUAGACUUUGGUGACGAAAACAAACACAAAAGACCUCUUGUUCUGAAGGAAUGUUUGAUCUUUUAUCAUUUGACACUGAGUUCAGAUUAGUUCACCUGAAUUUUACAGAAAAUUAUCUAAUUUGUCAUUGAUGUCACAAGUUUGCAGCCAAUUGUCUGCGCGUACUAUCAACACUGACCGUUGUUGUUUAAGAUAUUGAAAUCUUGAUGUCUGUAAGGGACAAGCGAAUGAGGGAUUGUGAAUCAGACCCACGGCGCUCAGAGGAGACUGUUAAUCACUCCGUCCUCAUUAUCGGUCAAUAAGCAUCGCUAAUUUUGCUUUUUGGCAGGGGUGAUGCAUGCAAUUCAAAAGAGGGACGGCACAACAAAGUCACCUUGCAGGCAGUGGCGUAGAAAAUUACUCAGUUUUAUUGCCUUUACAAAUUAAUUUUUUCUGCCUGUGCAGUUGCUGAGUUCACAGCACAUUACUGAAGUUGUGACUGAAUAAUUGUACUAAAUAUAUAAUCUGUAGUAAAGAAUUUUGCAAGAGAAUCAGAUUAAUUCCAAGGUGUACUAAUUAGCUAAAUUUGAUAAACCAAAUCCAAUUUACAUUUGCAGGGCAUUUAGCAAGACACAAAGGGAUCAAAUUUGCACUAAAUUCUCAGGCAGUAAAUCUGCUAAAAAUCAAAAUAAGGCCAAAAAUGCAAAAUCCCAUGCAAUUAAACUGCUUUUAUGCAUGUUUGUUCAAAAUAAAAUACACUUUAUUUAACCAUAACAGCCUCUUAAAAUGUAAACAGUUAUUUUAUGAGUUUUUUUUUUUGGGUUGUAUCAACCCUCUGGUGUUUUUCUGUACUUUUUUCUCUGGUCAUUCUUGACCAAAAUAAAUUUAUGUUUUUUUUUUUGGUUUUGUUUUGAAUUGGUUUACUCUAUCUUAAUGGUACAAAACAUGAUAAACGUUUUGGUGUUUACUAUGUGAACACACACACACACACAAAAUGGACAUAUUCAUGGCAAAAAUAUUUACACGGUCAAAAUGACUGCAUUGAAUGGCAAAGCGGAAUGAACUGUAAGUGUAUUUCA